This 424-nucleotide ribosomal RNA is filed under the name Streptococcus anginosus. RNAcentral's name for it is "bacterial SSU rRNA". It matches the Rfam family "Bacterial small subunit ribosomal RNA", at positions 68 to 474 of the family's 1533-position model. The record is from RNAcentral. Lineage: Bacteria; Bacillati; Bacillota; Bacilli; Lactobacillales; Streptococcaceae.
UAUACCGUAGCUUGCUACACCAUAGACUGUGAGUUGCGAACGGGUGAGUAACGCGUAGGUAACCUGCCUAUUAGAGGGGGAUAACUAUUGGAAACGAUAGCUAAUACCGCAUAACAGUAUGUAACACAUGUUAGAUGCUUGAAAGAUGCAAUUGCAUCGCUAGUAGAUGGACCUGCGUUGUAUUAGCUAGUAGGUAGGGUAAAGGCCUACCUAGGCAACGAUACAUAGCCGACCUGAGAGGGUGAUCGGCCACACUGGGACUGAGACACGGCCCAGACUCCUACGGGAGGCAGCAGUAGGGAAUCUUCGGCAAUGGGGGGAACCCUGACCGAGCAACGCCGCGUGAGUGAAGAAGGUUUUCGGAUCGUAAAGCUCUGUUGUUAAGGAAGAACGAGUGUGAGAAUGGAAAGUUCAUGCUGUGACG